GCUGGGCGUGGUGGUGCACGCCUGUAGUCCCAGCUACUCACGAAGCUGAGGCAGGAGAUUCACUUGAACCCAGGAGGUGGAGGUUGCAGUGAGCCAAGAUCAUGCCACUGCACUCCAGCCUGGGUGACACAGUGAGACUCUGUCUCAA
RNAcentral lists this small RNA (148 nucleotides) under Macaca mulatta (Rhesus monkey). RNAcentral describes it as "Metazoan signal recognition particle RNA (ENSMMUG00000054692.1)". The record is from Rfam by way of RNAcentral. Lineage: Eukaryota; Metazoa; Chordata; Mammalia; Primates; Cercopithecidae.